RNAcentral lists this long non-coding RNA (1417 nucleotides) under Ananas comosus (pineapple). Its description in RNAcentral is "long non-coding RNA (ACOM_LNC044134)". Lineage: Eukaryota; Viridiplantae; Streptophyta; Magnoliopsida; Poales; Bromeliaceae. The record is from RNAcentral.
AGUCCAAUAGCUCGUUUCAAUCGGUUCAGCUGUUCUGGAACCAAUGGCGCUGACGGAUUUUGAGUUUGACGCACGGAUUUCGAGAAAAUCCAAAAAUACAUGUUUUAUAUGUAUUUAUGUGUGUGUUUCCUUCUAUUGGAAGAAGGUUGGAUUUUGUCGUGAAUCCGUGGUCGAUCGAGAUAAAACGAAAUCGCAGCUUUGUUGUCUCCGUCGUGCUGAUCGCACUGGUGUGAACCGUUCGCGAAUCUGACGGACGGAUCUGCGGAGAUCGCGCGUUGAUCGAGAAAGGUCGGUAGUGGCAAAACGGUAUUUUCGCAAAAGUCGCGAUAUUUUAUGUACCGUUUCGCGUGGGAUCGCACGUGGAGGGGCGUUCAUGCGUUUUAGUCGUACUGUGAGGGACUCGGAUUGUAAUUCUGAUGUUUGGGGGACCUUUUUGCAUGUUGCGCCUUACUUUUAUAGGCUCUUUAGGGUUUGGAGCCACUCAACCCUAACCCUAGCCUUGCCCUAGCCCCCUAGCCGCCUCCUACCUCUUCCCUGCACUUGCUGCGCGUGCCCUGGCCGCCGCCGAUCGAGCCCCGGCCGGCCAACCACGCGGCAGCCACCACUCUCCAUCUUCUUCCCUCUCUUUCUCUCUUCCUCUCUCCUCUCGGGUUGUGUGGAGGCCCGAGACUGCUGCCACCUUCGGACCCUCCCUCGGUGUCGCCCCGUGCUCCGGCGACCUUCCCCGCCGACCGCCGCCGUCGCCUGCGCCGCCGCUGCCGCCCCGGGCCACAUCUGCCAGCCCAGACCGAGCCCUGGCCGUGACCCACUCGUGACCUCCCUCCUGCACCGCCGCCGCCUGGAAACCCUCCCGCCGACACCCUCCGUGCCCGGGCGCCCCUUCCCGCCGGUCGCCGCCGCCCCGGCGCGCCGCCUUCGCCGCCUCGGCCAGCCGCGGCCGCCCCAGCCCGAGCCCAGGCCGAUCUUGUUUGCGACCACUUUCCCGCGCCGCCGCCGCUCGAGGCCGCCUCCUUCCUCCUCCUCCGGCCUCUGGGGACCCGCAGUCGUCGUCCCCGACCUUCCCCAGUCGCCGCCGUGGCCGCAGCUUCCUUGGAGUCCGUGCCCUAGCUCUUGCGGGCCGAGCUUGCUCCGCCGCUGCCACUGCCGCUUCUCGUCGCCAACCGAGGUGAGCACGGAGUUCCUCACCUCCCCCUCACCCGACUCAGGGCCCCGCGCGCGCCGCCGUGCCGCCGGAGGCCGGCCGGAGCAAGGUUGCUCCGGCCAAGCCCGAAAUAGGGCUUAUUUGAGUGGGUUUCUUGUUCUGGGCUUCCCGAGCUUCCCCGAUCUCUACGGAAGGGAGCACGAUGAUCCUGGCAAGUUGCUGAUCAUCGUGCUCACCUUGGUUUCUGUCGGGAAGGCCCCGUUCCGCUGUUUUGGC